CGGUGUUUAACUGGCGUGAUGUGGGACGUCCUACCGGUGGGCUUAGCCUCGCGAGGGGCGGCCCAACUAAUAUCCCGUCGCGGGGCUCUUUACUGAGUGUCGAGUCGGGCCGGUACGUUUACUUUGAACAAAUUAGAGUGCUUAAAGCAGGCUAUCCUCGCCUGAAUACUGCGUGCAUGGAAUAAUGGAAUAGGACCUCGGUUCUAUUUUGUUGGUUUUCGGAACCCCGAGGUAAUGAUUAAUAGGGACAGAUGGGGGCAUUCGUAUUGCGACGUUAGAGGUGAAAUUCUUGGAUCGUCGCAAGACGGACAGAAGCGAAAGCAUUUGCCAAAAAUGUUUUCAUUAAUCAAGAACGAAAGUUAGAGGUUCGAAGGCGAUCAGAUACCGCCCUAGUUCUAACCAUAAACGAUGCCAGCUAGCGAUCCGCCGAAGUUCCUCCGAUGACUCGGCGGGCAGCUUCCGGGAAACCAAAGCUUUUGGGUUCCGGGGGAAGUAUGGUUGCAAAGCUGAAACUUAAAGGAAUUGACGGAAGGGGCACCACCAGGAGUGGAGCCUGCGGCUUAAUUUGACUCAACACGGGAAACCUCACCAGGCCCAGACACCGGAAGGAUUGACAGAUUGAUAGCUCUUUCUUGAUUCGGUGGGGUGGGUGGUGCAUGGCCGUUCUUAGUUGGUGGAGCGAUUUGUCUGGUUAAUUCCGAUAACGAACGAGACUCUAGCCUGCUAAAUAGGCGUACCUUAUGGUAUCGCGAAGGCCCCCGGCUUCGGCCGGUGGGUUUUUACUACCAACGUACAAACAAAUCUUCUUAGAGGGACAGGCGG
RNAcentral lists this ribosomal RNA (822 nucleotides) under uncultured eukaryote. RNAcentral's name for it is "SSU rRNA". It matches the Rfam family "Eukaryotic small subunit ribosomal RNA", at positions 629 to 1426 of the family's 1831-position model. The record is from RNAcentral.